AGCGGUCGGCGGCCGGCGGCGGGAGAUCGCGGGCGAGCGGAGCGCAACACUCGCUUGGUUGGGGAGAUCGGCGCUUGGCCG
RNAcentral lists this unclassified non-coding RNA (81 nucleotides) under Homo sapiens (human). Its description in RNAcentral is "mitogen-activated protein kinase kinase kinase 14 (ENSG00000282637.1)". The record is from RNAcentral. Lineage: Eukaryota; Metazoa; Chordata; Mammalia; Primates; Hominidae.